GACGAACGCUGGCGGCGUGCUUAACACAUGCAAGUCGAACGGAAAGGCCCUGCUUUUGUGGGGUGCUCGAGUGGCGAACGGGUGAGUAACACGUGAGUAACCUGCCCUUGACUUUGGGAUAACUUCAGGAAACUGGGGCUAAUACCGGAUAGGAGCUCCUGCCGCAUGGUGGGGGUUGGAAAGUUUCGGCGGUUGGGGAUGGACUCGCGGCUUAUCAGCUUGUUGGUGGGGUAGUGGCUUACCAAGGCUUUGACGGGUAGCCGGCCUGAGAGGGUGACCGGCCACAUUGGGACUGAGAUACGGCCCAGACUCCUACGGGAGGCAGCAGUGGGGAAUAUUGCACAAUGGGCGGAAGCCUGACGCAGCAACGCCGCGUGCGGGAUGACGGCCUUCGGGUUGUAAACCGCUUUCGCCUGUGACGAAGCGUGAGUGACGGUAAUGGGUAAAGAAGCACCGGCUAACUACGUG
RNAcentral lists this ribosomal RNA (468 nucleotides) under uncultured bacterium. RNAcentral's name for it is "partial 16S ribosomal RNA". It matches the Rfam family "Bacterial small subunit ribosomal RNA", at positions 28 to 507 of the family's 1533-position model. The record is from RNAcentral.